This 400-nucleotide ribosomal RNA is filed under the name uncultured bacterium. RNAcentral's name for it is "bacterial SSU rRNA". It matches the Rfam family "Bacterial small subunit ribosomal RNA", at positions 341 to 733 of the family's 1533-position model. The record is from RNAcentral.
ACGGGAGGCAGCAGUGGGGAAUAUUGGACAAUGGGGGCAACCCUGAUCCAGCAAUGCCGCGUGUGUGAAGAAGGCCUGAGGGUUGUAAAGCACUUUCUAUUGUGAAGAAAGGUUAAUAGUUAAUACCUAUUGACUGUGACGUUAACUUUAGAAGAAGCACCGGCUAACUCCGUGCCAGCAGCCGCGGUAAUACGGAGGGUGCAAGCGUUAAUCGGAAUUACUGGGCGUAAAGCGUGCGUAGGUGGUUGUUUAAGUCAGAUGUGAAAGCCCCGGGCUUAACCUGGGAACUGCAUUUGAAACUGGAUAACUAGAGUAUAGUAGAGGAAAGUAGAAUUUCUGGUGUAGCGGUGAAAUGCGUAGAUAUCAGAAGGAAUACCGAUGGCGAAGGCAGCUUUCUGGA